AACGAGGUCCAUCCAGUCGCAAGACUGGGGAAGACCGAGUGGCGAACGGGUGAGUAACACGUGAGGAACGUGCCCCGGAGACCGGGAUAACAGCGGGAAACCGCUGCUAAUACCGGAUACCUUCCUUUGACCGCAUGGUCGAUUGAAGAAAUGGAUUCCGCUCCGGGAGCGCCUCGCGGUCUAUCAGCUUGUUGGUGGGGUAACGGCCUACCAAGGCGACGACGGAUAGCUGGUCUGAGAGGACGAUCAGCCACACUGGGACUGAGACACGGCCCAGACUCCUACGGGAGGCAGCAGUGGGGAAUCUUGCCCAAUGGGCGAAAGCCUGAGGCAGCAACGCCGCGUGUGGGAUGAAGGCCCUUGGGUUGUAAACCACUUUCAGCAGGGACGAAAAUGACGGUACCUGCAGAAGAAGCCCCGGCCAACUACGUGCCAGCCGCCGCGGUAA
RNAcentral lists this ribosomal RNA (448 nucleotides) under uncultured bacterium. Its description in RNAcentral is "bacterial SSU rRNA". It matches the Rfam family "Bacterial small subunit ribosomal RNA", at positions 65 to 523 of the family's 1533-position model. The record is from RNAcentral.